Molecule: unclassified non-coding RNA, 88 nt
Filed under: Pseudomonas mediterranea
Lineage: Bacteria; Pseudomonadati; Pseudomonadota; Gammaproteobacteria; Pseudomonadales; Pseudomonadaceae
Source: RNAcentral
UGUGGGAGCGAGCCUGCUCGCGAUGGCGGCAGGCCAUUCCCCCCUAUUUGGCUGACACACCGCUAUCGCGAGCAGGCUCGCUCCCACA